GUCUACAUUAGCAGCGAUAUCAGUGAACUAUAGCAGCGGAGAAAACCACCGCAAAAAUGGUGCAGGGAGCAAUGUACGACUGCAGACAAGACGACAUGUUCUGUGCGCUGCGGUCGCUCGAGUACUCCUACAGGGUCUUCGACGGCAUCAUCAUCGGCGUCCUCAUCAUGCAGGUGCUGGUGCUGCUCAUCAUCGCCGCCGCCAUCUUCUUCAGAUGUAAAAGCUAGAACACCCUCAGAGAACACUCGUGAGGAAAACAUCAAUAUGACAAGUCAAGGACAGACCGAGGCAAAAUCCUACGACAACUAAGCGGUCCAGUAACAACAACCCGUCGUGAUUUUGUUGUUCCACGUACGACAGCCAAUUUCACUCGCGAGUGUUUUCGUUUGUAAAUAGAAGCGUGAUAGGCAAACCGAUAGUAAUUAUAGAGCCAUAGUUUACAAGUUAUCAUGCACACUAAGUUACCCUAAGGUCCCAGAUAGAGAAAGGAUAUUUAGAAGGGUAGGAAAUGGAUUUUGACAAUAUUAGACUUUUUCACAAAGGCAAAUAACGAGCGUAAUCACGAUACUUCGUAUUUAUUACGUAAUUAUAAAGAAUAAAAUGAUUGAGCUUGAAAUUGUAUUAACAAUUUGCCGACUAACGGUGAACUAAACGGCAAUGUUAUCAGCUAUUUGAUAAAAUAGAAUCGAUUGACUUAUUACGACAAAACGUUGUAGGUAAUGUAAUGUGGAAGCGAGAGUAUAUCGAUAAUUCACGACACUCUACAUUAAUAAUACAUAAAUAAUGCACGUUAAUGUUUAAUGAGUUAAUGUUUAAUUAGUAAUGUUCAAUUAUCACGCAAUCAGUUCCAUCUAUAUAUAUAUAUAAUGCAUAAUGUACACAAAGUUGAAGACGCUUUCGCACAUAACUUAACAUGUAUUUUGGGAGACAUUAUAUUUCGCGGGACUGUCUGGUUACCUACUACUUAGUAUAUUUAAAAACGUACCGUAAGUUUUGUCCGAUGCCCCGAGAAAUGUCAUGCGAGUCUAUGUAUCGCAAUAAAUCAAAUUAUAAGAUACAAAAUAACAUGGGCAUGAUCGCCGCAAAGUUUAUAUCUAACAACAUCUGACUGUUGAAUAAAAUUUUGACAUCUAUCUAUAAAA
Priapulus caudatus is the source of this 1142-nucleotide long non-coding RNA. RefSeq lists it as uncharacterized. The transcript has 3 exons. The record is from RefSeq and is a predicted model, not a curated record. Lineage: Eukaryota; Metazoa; Priapulida; Priapulimorpha; Priapulimorphida; Priapulidae.